GAUGAAGAACGCAGCGAAAUGCGAUAAGUAAUGUGAAUUGCAGAAUUCAGUGAAUCAUCGAAUCUUUGAACGCACAUUGCGUCCGCCAGUAUUCUGGCGGGCAUGCCUGUUCGAGCGUCAUUUCAACCCUCAGGCCCCCAGUGCCUGGUGUUGGGGAUCGGCCCAGCCUUCCUGUAAGGCCGCCGGCCCCGAAAUCUAGUGGCGGUCUCGCUGUAGUCCUCCUCUGCGUAGUAGCACAACCUCGCAGUUGGAACGCGGCGGUGGCCAUGCCGUUAAACACCCCACUUCUGAAAGUUGACCUCGGAUCAGGUAGGAAUACCCGCUGAACUUAAGCAUAUCAAUAAGCGGAGGA
RNAcentral lists this unclassified non-coding RNA (352 nucleotides) under soil metagenome. Its description in RNAcentral is "partial contains 5.8S ribosomal RNA, internal transcribed spacer 2, and large subunit ribosomal RNA". The stretch from base 1 to 120 matches the Rfam family "5.8S ribosomal RNA", at positions 35 to 154 of the family's 154-position model. The record is from RNAcentral.